This 38509-nucleotide long non-coding RNA is filed under the name Panicum hallii. RNAcentral's name for it is "long non-coding RNA (PHAL_LNC000301)". Lineage: Eukaryota; Viridiplantae; Streptophyta; Magnoliopsida; Poales; Poaceae. The record is from RNAcentral.
GGGGAGGAAGGAGGUGUGAAGGCGAGGUGGGAGGAGACAGGGUCGCAGGAGGGGUGAGGUUUUAUUUGGGAGAAAGUUGCGGGCAUUUCUGGGAGAUUUGAGCCCAUCGUUUUUUAUGUUAUCAUAUCUUUUCCCAAAAAAGUUAACACCGUCACCAACUCACCAUAUAUACUUACAUUUUUCUCGUGUAUUUCAAGGAAACCAAUUUGCAUUUUUUAGUUUUGUUUUACGCUGAAAGCUGUGGGAGUUUUGAGAGGUUUUAUGCUGGGCAUGAAUGAAUGUCCAGUAAUCAAGACUACUUUUGUAACAGCAGCUCUAGCAGUCCAGCUACCCUUUCUUUCUUGAAUGUCCAGCUACUUUUGUUCUCCAUGUUGGCAUUUCUCUUACUAUGUCUUGGCACAACUCGAACUUUAUUAAAAUUAUAAAGUAAAUAAAGUAGUUUAAAUAUCUGUACUUAGUCUAAACUAUAAAUAAAAUAGUUUAUCAAAAUACUAUCAAUGUACUGACAACUCUCUGGAUUCACGGAAUUUUGGACUUGUAAAUUCUCAGUUCGGAACUGGAGGGGUGCCAAACAGGCCACAUGUUAUUCAUUUUUAUGAGAUUUCUAAUUGUCCUUUUUUUACAAAAAAAGAGAGGAGAUGAUAAUUUUUUAGAAGCUUCCCUAGCAAUCUCCCUCUUUUUCAUAAAAAAAAGUAAAGCUGACACCUGAUAGGAGUUAUGCCUGCUUUUUAUUGAUAAAAAGAAGAAAAGAUCUAGAUCUGAAUAAUAAGGAGCACAAAAAAGAGAGAGAAAAGGCAACAAUCAAUUUUACCGAGAAAUGCUUCCUUAGCAAUCUCGGUGUCUACUGAGUUUACUCAAUGUUUAUGUUUUAGCCCCCUUAAUUGUAGAGUUUUAUGAAAUUCACUAUCUGUACCUCUGUACUAGUCUAGUACCUAUUAUUUCUUUUUUCCCAUAAUUUAAUGGAUUAUAGUUAACUAAGUAAAUAAAGUAUUGACAGAUGAAAAUCAUGUACAAAUGUGAACAUAACAAUGUUGAUCACACAAAUAUAAACAUAAAUAAAUGCUAACACAACUUUUCCUAGGAUCCUCAAAAGUAUGCCUGACAGGAUGGGAAACAAAAGGAGUAGCUUUUGUACCAGCAUGGCCAUCUAUUCAUUGCAUUCAAGCCGACCGAACAGUACACCAUCAGUUCAUGGCAAAUCAAAUACUAAACCAUAAAACAAUAAGAUGCAAUUAUCUAGUGACAAAAACACACUUAAAUAUGGAAUACAACCAUCGCAUAUACCGUAUAUUUACAACGUAGGAAUUUCUCAAAAGCUUGAGAGAUGCCCAAAGGUAGAGUGUGUGAAGGAGACGCGCCCUCGCGUGUGUUCGUGCCAAGAAAGCAACCGUAAAAACGGAACACCCGCGUCAGCCACUGAGCCGGGGGGGUGGACUGUGGAGGAUAUGGCAGCACUUGCCGCCCACCACCACCGCCUCCUCUCCUCCUCCUCCGCAGCUGCUCCACCAGCUCGCCGCCGCCGCCGUCUCUCCUCGCUCCCCUUCUCCCCGCGGCCUUCUUCCCAUGGCCGUCUCAGCUCCAGCACGCGCGCCUCGGGCGGCGGCGGCACCAGCAGCGCGGCGGCCCCACCCGCCGCCGCGGCGACGUCGGCGUCGCUGUCCCUGGAGGAGCUGCGCCGGGGCUGCACCACCUGGACGUGGCGCGGGAUGCGCGUGAACUACCUCGCCAGGGGGCAGGGCCCGCCCGUCCUGCUCGUCCACGGCUUCGGCGCCUCCGUCGCGCACUGGCGCAGGUGAGCCGCGGCCUUUGACCUUUCCUGAUGAAAUCUGAGCUCAUGGCGUGAUCGGUGGCGCGCCCGCGCGAGAUGUGCUCGACCGAUGAACUAGCCGAGCUCGUGAAGUGAUCGCUAAUUGAUCAACUCAUCGGUAGGAACAUUGGGGUGCUGUCUGAAUCCUACACCGUCUACGCGAUCGAUUUGCUGGGGUUCGGCGCCUCGGACAAGCCUCCUGGGUUUUCUUACACGAUGGAGACAUGGGCUGAGGUAACUGUGGUUUCAGUCUGAGACAUGAACGGAGACGUACCAUCUGUACCUAAUGUUUGAACUGAAUCGAUCCUAUUUCUGUGCCAAGCAGCUGAUCCUGGACUUCUUGAAGGAGGUCGUGAAGAGGCCCACGGUGCUUGUCGGCAACUCUGUCGGCAGCCUUGCAUGCGUCAUUGCUGCCUCAGGUUACAAAAUCCCUCAAUGUCAGUAAAUCCUGUUUCUGUAAACUCCGUAAUUAUGAUACUUAUUUAAUUUGCUCUUGGCAAUGAUGAGCAGAGUCCAACAGAGACGUCGUCCGGGGGCUUGUCCUGCUCAACUGCGCCGGCGGCAUGAACAACAAGGCGAUCGUCGACGACUGGAGGAUCAAGCUGGUCCUGCCUCUGCUCUGGCUGAUCGACUUCCUGUUGAACCAGCGGCCGAUAGCAUCGGCACUCUUCAACCGCGUGAAAAACAGGCAUGCCGACCUGCACCGCACUUCCCUCUGAUCUGAGACCUGUUAGCACUUACCCUGUUCUGUGACAAUCUGAACUGAACAGGGACAACCUGAAGGACAUCUUGCUCUCUGUUUACGGGAACAAGGACGCCGUGGAUGAUGAAUUAGUCGAGGUAAGGGUAUCUCCUACCUCCUAAUGUUCCUUCUGUUUCUUCAGCAACCAGUUAGGCUGCGUCUGUUUCUGCAAGAAUUCAUCACUUGGGAUAACUGAAUCCAUGACAUUGGCCCAAGGGUCACAUGCCACUGAUAAAUUGAGUGGAUAAUGCCGAAGCUCAAACGACUGGAGUGAUGACUACACUGAAUCAAUGAUUUCUGAUGAAGGAAUUUUUUUUCUAAACUUUGUGAAAGUAUGUAUGUGCACGCACACGCAGAUCAUAAGGGGACCGGCUGACACGGAGGGCGCCCUGGACGCGUUCGUGGCGACGGUGACUGGCCCGCCGGGGCCGAGCCCGAUAGCGCUGAUGCCGCGGCUGGCGGACGUGCCCGUGCUGGUGCUGUGGGGAGACCGGGACCCCUUCACCCCCAUCGACGGGCCCGUGGGGAAGUUCUUCUCCAAGCUGCCGUCGGAGCUCCCCAACGUGACGCUCCACAUGCUCGAGGGCGUCGGCCACUGCCCGCACGACGACCGCCCGGACCUCGUCCACGACAGGCUGCUCCCGUGGCUCGACGGCCUCCCGCCGCCCGCGGCCGGCGCUGCGGCGGUCUAGUCGCCGACGGCCGGGGGUGACGACGAACUGACGGUGGAUGUAAUUAAUUCUGUAAUUCUCUCUGCUGGUGCUCGUGCGUGUCGAGAAAGUUUAACGACACGGUGAAGAAUUUGAUCCGGGCCGGUGCUCCGUACUGUGUAUACGGCCCAAGAUGGGUUUAGGCGGCGGCAGCCUGUGCUCUGUGGGCUGUGCUACGUGGACCAAGGUUCUUAGCCCACAUCGAUCCUUAUAGGAGUGAAACGUUUAAUGGGCUACCGGGCUAGGCCAGAAACCUCGCAACCUCACGUGGGCCGAUUCGUCUGCCAAGCCUUGAGAGUUGAGCCAAAUGGCGUAGGAGGCGGCAAAUUAUUACACACAAAAUCAACCGAGUUGAUGUUGCCUACCCAUACGCAUGCUCCGCGAUUUUCCAGAUUCUAGAUUAGACUCCUUUUUCUCAGAACCAAAAAAAAAAGUCUGCGAUCCAGAGACGUUCAGCGUCACCAACAUUUCAAACUAGCGAAAAGAAUACUCCUUUUUCUUUGCGAACGAACGGUGGCUUCCACCACAGGCAGCUGAUGGUGGCGCCAUCCUUUGACGGCGCCGUGACUCGAGAGGCACCACAAGUCAACCCCACGAGUCAGCGGGCGCCGGUCAAGGAGUCCAAGGUCCAUGCAUGCGUGGACGUCAAAUGGCGGAGGCGACCACAGACACCAUACGGUUUGCAAUCAGCGUGGCCGAUCGGUCGUCGUCCUGCUAGCGAUGCGUCAUCGAUCGGCCGCCGAGCGAGCCUGCAAUAAGUGGGGGGCCGCCGGCGGUGGCGGCGAUCGAGAGAGCGGCCUCGCCGCCGGUAUUAACUGGCAGUUAUGGGAUCAGCACGGCCCACCGGCCGGCCGGUCGAUCCGUCGUCGCCGGCCGGUCAUGCAUGGGAACAGCUGGAGCGGGGGGUAGUAACUUGAGUAGAGAGGCAGAGCUAGCAUCAUCAUGUACCCACCUCACCGAUGGAAUUGAAUGUAUCCUCCUGCGUAUCAUGGUUUUGCUGUAGCAUUAUUAGAUGAUCCUACUAGUACAUCGUCUCGCAAAUGUAUGAUCUAGCAUAUCUGAUACAAUAUUGAUAGCAAUUCUCUCGGUCUUGUUUCAAAUUUAAAAUAGAAAUAAGUCCAUUUUCUCAUGCUGGAUUAUUAAAAAUAGCGAAAAGUGCUCCCAUAAUGCAAUACUUUAUCCUUCCAAGAUAAUUUUUCGUAGUUGUAAGAAUAUGAACUUCUCCCUUUGAUCACAAAUGGUUAUUGGCAUGUUCUUUGAAACACAAAUUUAUUCACUAUCUUUUUCUGUUACACAAGUACAUUUUGUAACAAAUAGCAAAGCUAUACUAUUAUAAUACUACCCGUUUGAUAUACAUUUACUCGUAUGAUUUUUGAAUAUCUAAACUCAACAUAAAAAAAUGCUCUCUCCAUUUUCUUUUCUAAGGAAUGACGUCAAACUUCGUAAUCUUCAACCAACAAUAAGCCUCUCACAUGAUAUAAUUUUGUUAUGAAAAUUGUAUAAUUGAAUGCAAAUUUGAAUGGACUUUGUUAUGGUUAUGAUCUUGUUGCUACAAACAUCAUAGCAUAAAAAGAAAUCAGGACAUUUAGAGACAGUGCCAAGUCAAAACUAGCCUUAUUUUGCAAUGGAGCAAUCUACAGCCAAAGUUUGAAAUAGUUGACUCCAGGCAACCCAAAAAUAUCACUUAGCUAGUGGGAGUAGUUUAACCCUCAAAAUAUGAGAAUUCAUGACAAAACAAUUAUCCCUAAAAAUUAAGAAAGCAUUAUUCUUGCAAUAAAGAUUAUGAUGUGAGCUACAUACCAUAGAAUUUGAAUUUAAGACUCAACUUGUAUUGUAAAAAGAAUCAUUAGAAGGUGAAUUGACCUAGUUUAAAUAGCGUGGGGAGGAAAAUGCAUGCAAAUUUUAUACAGGGUUAAGCAGACCAGGGAAUUGUUUGGGGUAAUAACUUUAAAUACAGUUUGUGCAUGUGAAUCAAAGGUACCCAUACCUUCUUCUUUACUCUCAUUUAUAGUUCUUCCAUUCAACUUCGAUGAGUAACAUUUCACAAGAACUACCAGCCUGCUUAUCUUCAAAAAAUUACUAACUUGAGGGAUACUGUUCUUCCACCACCCCCUUUGGUUUUACAACAUUGGCGGCCCGGUGAGAAUAUGUAUCAUCAAAAGAGAUGAAAGGAGUCGUCACUUUUAAGGGACCACCUCCCCCCUCAUUCAUAUAGUCAAAUUCGUCAUUGAUUGAGAUAAAUAUAUCUUCAUGAUUCUACAGUUGCUUGUAGCAGACCGAAGAAUGAAACUUUAUCUAACAAAUUUAGACUACACGCGCAAAUCACACACCUAUGUCGGUAUUUUAUCCGCCAACCUACCGAGGGGAUACCCCGAGACAGUAGAUUUGUAGGUGAAGUGUUACCGAGAUCAGGAACUCAAUGGUAAAAGUAAGGACACAAGACACAGAUCUAUACAGGUUUGGGUCGCUAGAGUAGCGUAACAUCCUAUGUCAUGUUUAAAGUAUUGUAUAUUGCGCUCUGCGCUUGGUUGUUGUGUUGCCUAUUUUAGGCUUGAGUUGGUUCUGCCGAUCUAUGUACCCUUGCCCUCUCUUAUAUAUUCCAGAAGAUAGGAUACUAGUCGGUUAGUCGGUUAUAAGGUAGGAUUCCAAGUAGGAUUACAGGGUACGAGUCCUAAUAGGAUUCUUUCUUCCUUUCGGUAGGUACCCGAACAUCUACCUCCAACAACCUAUGAUUUGGAACGCUAAAACUAUUCCAUAUUUUCAAAGUUCUGUUUAAUUUGAUGGAAAAAUGGAUUUGACAAUGACCUAUGAUGGUCUACUAACAAAAAAAAAUCUAGAUCCAUAGAUAAAAUUACAUUAUUAUUUCCGUGAUGUAUUACCCGAAAAAGAAUAAAAGAAUGGAACAUGAAGAUAAAAUAUUUAAGGAAGCAAUUGGGUCGAGUUCCUCCACUUGUAUGAGAAAAUUUACUAAUGAUUCUGUAAAAAGAAGCUAUUUAACCUUUUCUAUUUAAGACCAUAUAAUUUUAUUGUUACUAUUUCCUCUAUCCCAUCAAGAGUUUAUAUAUUUUUAUUGUUACUUUUCCCGGAACAGAGGGAGUACCAGUCAUAUUGCUAUAAUAGUGGACUACAUUUAUUUUAUUAGUGAUCGAAUGAAGUAUCUAUUAUGUUUUAAAUUUGGCAACAUAUAUAAUCUAAAAUAAUUGUGAGCAUGGGAGAGAGAGAGAGAGAGAGAGAGAGAGAGAGAGAGAGAGAGAGAGAGAGAGAGAGAGAGAGAGAGAGAGAGAGGCGUGUGUGUAAGUGUAACCGUAACACGACAAGAUCGAUUGCAGCUAAUAACAGCCGAUCGAGUGAGCAAAAGUCAACACAUCUCCAGCAAAUUCUAGCACCUCCAUGUUGUCGAUUCUCCUGAGUCCACCCUCCCCUCCCCACACAUACACAGUCACAUGCAUGAUGUUAAGUUUCGCAUAUGCAGAUCUGGACAAAAUGCACAUGCUCCCACGGCCAUGCAUGCAUAUGCGCGGUGUAUACAUCCAUGCGCUCGUGCUUCGUGCAUGGUGCAUGGGGUUGACCUGUCAGAGGUGGCCGAACUUGUUCCGGUGCGCUGUCAGCGCUGCACGCACGCUUGUGCGUAACGUACCACUAGCCUGCAAUGGUCAGAGUGCGACUCUGCACAUAGCCUCAUACGCGCAGGAUAGGACCAACCAACGAACGAAGUAACAUUACCAGAAUACCAGCUGGUCAGAUCUCAGAUCAGGCGUCGUAUUUCACGUACGUGCAGUGGGGUAAUACGGGAAUUAAUUAUGGAACCGAUCCGACCACGCAUGAUGCUGGCGAGUGUUGUUGCAUUGCGUACUCUCGCUCGUCUGCCUGCUGACACAAACUUUGGAGUUCUUUGACGAUUUGUUUCCCGCACUUGGACAAAUGUUCAGAUUACACUACAAAUAUUUACCUUUACAUGUUUUUCAUAAAUGACCGAGCGAGGUUAUUUAUCUAAAAUAUAAUUACCAUAUAAAAUAUAUUAGAAAUCUUAUGGCAUUUAUUUGUGUGAACUGUAAACAAAUUGUUCAGGUCAUCGAGACAAUAUAUAUAGAGUGUUCUUCGGUUGAUUAGAGUCAGGUGUAAGUACGACAAUACGUAGAUAUCAGACGUGGAGCCAAUGCGUGCGUGCACACAGCAGACAUGUCCAUGUAGGGUUAAUUAGACCUCGAUCUAGCUACCUCCUAUAAAUGUGCGUCCACCCUCAGUUUAUCGCACCAUAAAUGUUGGUGGCAUGUUAGUUGGGGCAUCACCAAAGCUAACCUUAUUCAUAGGAUAUACAGUACUUGCUCUGUUCCAGAAUAUACUAUAUAGCUACUUAUAGAUUUUUUCCAACUCAAACUCUUUAAACUUUGACCAAAAAUAGUAAAAAAUAUAAAGAUUGGCAACAUAAAAAUAAAGUUUAUUCAUAAAAAGAUCAACUAUCAUAGCAUGUAACAUUUUCUAUUUAAAAAAUAAUUAUUUUUAAAGAUAUUAUUGGUCAAAAAUAAAUUUUUUUGACUUUGACCAAGUCUAAAAGUUAAUAUACUUUGGGACGGAGGUAGUACUGCUUAUGACUACUACAGAAACUAUCUUUCGUUCUCCUUAUUUGUCGCGGCCAGUUUUGGGUCCGGAAUUGAUGAAGGAUUUAGUCUCAGAUCCAACGGCUAGGUGGCGGCGGGGAGCUUUAGUCCCGGUUGGACCCACCAACUGAGACUAAAAGUCACCCUUUAGGGGGUGUUUGGCUUGGAGAGGUUUAUUAUAAGCCCAUAAGCUCCUCACAUGGAGGGGCUUAUUAUAAGCCCAAAGUGGUGUCUGGUUGUUGUGGCUUAUAAAAAACCCCUGUAGUUGGUAAUUAUCUUUUUACCCCUCAUUGAUGCCCCUGCAAGUGAGGGAGAUGAGGGUAGUGGGAGAAAAGAGGGGAUGUUUUGGUGAGGUCCACAGAAAAUAAGGCCGGAAGCAUCCCUUGGAGGGGCUUACGGGAUUAUGGGGUUUAUGGGCAUAAGCCUCACCUAUAAGUCUUCAUGUUUGCAUAAAAAGAGGCUUAUUAGGGGCUUAUUGGUGGGUCUUAUAAUAAACCCCUCCAAACCAAACACCUCCUUAGUUCCGGUUGAUGGCUCCAACUGAGACUAAAGUUGACCCUUUAGUCUCGGUUGGUGGCUCCAACCCGGACUAAAAGAUCUUUAGUCCCGGUUGGUGGCUCGAACCGGGACUAAAGGGUCCUUCACGGGUUAGUUUAAAAGGAAGGCAUCCCAUUCAAAGUCACAUGUGCUGCGUAGGUGGGGUGGUAAAGAAGCUGUGCGUAAGGCAAGAGGUCUCGGGUUUGAGUUCUAGGCACGGAGUAAUUUUUUUUGCCUUUCCACGGAUCUUUAAUCCCGAAUUCGUAGUCCCGGUUAUGAACUAUAGGGUUGGAAACCUACUAGGGAAGCGGGACUAAAGAGCGUGGGAAACCGGAACAACUAGGGGAUUCUGUAUACAUUGUCAACUAGGGGAUUCUGUUCAUGACUAUUUUGAUUCGCACGUAUUGCAUUGCUGUGGUAUGUAUGUCUUUGGAGACCGAAACCGGAGGCGACAGUGAUAAUUAUGACCUCAUUGGAGGCAUUGCUGAGGUGUUCAUCAUUCCCCGCGUUUCGCUAGUUGGAUCUUAUGGUGAAAACCUCAUGUGAUAUAUAUUGGGCCGUGGAAGAGUUAGUGAUACCUGUCCUCCUAAAAGACAGGGGCUUUGGUGCAAUACUACGCAGAGCUAGAUAAUCUAAAGUAACAUCAUAUUCUUCAUCUAAAUUAUCCAUAUAUAUUGCAUUAUAAAACAAUAACAUAAAGUAAUUAAACCCUCUAAAUUUGUAUCCAAUUAAUUAGCCUUCUCUAUCAUUAUUAAAACUAGCGAUAUGUAAAUAAUUGUGAUUAUAAGAAACAUCACAAAGUACUUAUAUAUAUGCUUCUAAACUAUCCACACCUUGCCAUUGUCAAUAUAGAAAAAAGGUAACUGAAGUUAUAUAUCCACGGUGUCUGUCUCCAUAUAGACCAUAUAUAUAGAUGUAUUGAUGAUCAUAUCUAUUUCCAUGUCAAGCAUAUUGCUCAAGCUUAAUAUUUUAACUAAACACAUGUCAAAUAGAAAUGGAGAUGCGAUAUGCAAAAGGAAAAAACUUUAAAUAGGAAAUGAAAGACAUAUAGAUAACUGACAAAUGAUGUGUAUUACAGUCAGAUAAAAAUAAAAAAUAUUUAUAUGAGUAUUUUGUUGGAUUAUGAGUAAACAGGAGAGCAUAAAAAUAAGCAAUUUUUAGUUAAUAUGGGUGUCACAUUAUGCAUAUUUUUUAAUAAUUAUUUCUCUUAAAAUUAGUAGUAUGAACAGAAGCGCAGUUAGAUGGACCAGUGACGUCCAAUCCAUCGGUAGUGUCUGUUGUUUCUGAACUGAAGAUUAUGUGAUCCAUCGCCGCCGCGAUGUACGUGUGAGCUGUGAUCGAUGAGGGUCAGUCACGGGCUUCAUUUGGCCCCUACUCAUAGUAGAGUCCUUGCAUACACGCACCAGAGCACAGGGUCUCCUGCGCUACUUGUGAAAAACCGUCGUCUCUUAUGCCUCCUUUCUCUGCUCUAUAGCCUAUACUACUUGACGGAGAUGGGCAUGUUGUUGUAUAUUCUGUCGGCUAUAUUAUGUAGCUAGCUAGCUGCUGCGUAUGCGUACGUGCUGUUAGUUCAUAAAAAGACAGUACUGUCUGAUGCUUUGUCACCAAAGGCUAAUAAGUAAUUGAGGUGUUGUUCAUCUUAUUCAAGAGUACUGAAAAUAUAGCAUAGCUAAGAUUUUAAACAAGAGGUUUAGGUUUAGCUAGAUUGGCAUGUACUAUGCCCGGCCCAUCAUGUUUCUUCACAAAAAUGGGUUCAUGAACCAUGCUAGCUAGCUAGCUUGCAUGACGACAUAUGGUGCUGGGCGUCCUUUUAUUUCGUAACACUAAUACCUAUAAGCUUUACCAGGGGCGAAGCUAGGAACUUUAAGCAUUGGGGGUCUGCGUAUAGAAAAUUUUCUUUUCCUAUGGGAUCUUUUUAUGGAAUAGCCUUGAUACAAAGGUGUUUUGCUAGCUGGUGGUCAUCGGGGUCGCCGGGCCCGACAAUUGACUGUAGCUUCGCCCCUGAGCUUUACUUACAAUGCUGAUUAACCAUGCUUGUUUGAUUACAUGGUGAUGGUUGUGUGGCUAUCCACGUCAGCACGUAAGUUGGGAGUUCUUUUUUGGCGAAACUUCUUGUGUGGAUGUAGCAUCACUACUAUCUUGUUUCUCAGGCCCAUCUCCAUUACAAGCACUAUAUAUCUCAAAGGUAAAAAGGGAUCCCCCCCCCCACCAAAUUAUGUCUAAAUAAAUCCAUAUGGCCACGUGACCAUAUAUAUUUUAUCGCAUUAUCUAAAAAAAUUGUAUACACAAGUUAAGAAGUGAAUAAAAUUUCCUAAAUGUUUUCAGAAGUGUAAUAUCUGAAACCAAUGGUUGAGAUCUAAUAUUUCUUUUAUGGAAGGAUUCAAAAAAUGUAAAUUGAAUGCAGCACAAUGCAAAAAUCAUGCAGUACGUAUUAGCAGAUGGUCUUUCCAAACAAGUCGUUUUUCCAUUUCAUAAUGUUUGGUCCUUCUCUCAGGAGGCACGCCAUUUUGAAAUACUUGUCACUGUAUUCUGUAGUCGUUGCAAUAUUGCCAAAAUGAGUGAGCCUACUCAGGCUUAGCUUUCAUGCAUGCAUGGACCACCCUUGCACAUACAUGAGCUGCCCGGUCCCAUGCGCGCAUGUGUGCUACCAAUUCAGAAAUUGUCAGUCUUCUCCAUUCCUCAACAAAUCUGACCUUAUUGUUCUAUCAGUCAAUCCUGCCAUCUUCUAGAUCUGACUCUUCUGACAAUAUGUCUUUGGCCCUGCAUAAUUGGAGCAUAUUUAUUUUAAUUCACUAUUGACGUUUUUCUUAUCGAAGCACUUCUGACUAUUUUUUUUACAAAUCUAUGUUAGUGCGUUAAUAAUUUUUGUUUGCUUCUAUCCACUUUUUAAUGAAUAAUCUAAUAGCAUGAUUUUCAUGGAGUCAAUUGAAUGAAGUUUUUUUAAUGGACAUAGUUAAAAAAUAUCAAUACGGUUUCUAGGAAAUGAGAAAAAGAAACAAAGGGAACAACAUGAUGAUGCAAAUGUAUCCUGUCCAAUAGUUACGUGUACGUUUCUGAAAGAUAAAUAUAAGUAUUCUGGUAGCGUGAAAGAAAUGUUUUCUUUUCAUUAAGGAAGUGAGAAGGAUGCUAUGGAAGAAGACCAGAGAAACCAAGGUGACCGGAAUGUUCGGACGAAAAUUACAAGCAGACAUCCACGUCAGAGGCCUGGAUGAGGCAGCCGCCCAAAGAGGGACUCAUCUCGGCCAGUCUCUUUCGCUCUUCAAUUCCACCACUCGGUCCCUUUCCUUCUACUCGUAGGGACCAUGUAUACAAAGGUCUUGUGUACAAUUUACACCACCAACACAGCCGCUCGUUGUAGUAUGUCAUAGCUGCUUUAGGUCCUACACAUUGGUGGCCACUUCUUCCUAAAAGGUUCUCUCCAAUGCACCAUCGAUCAAGGCUUGUUGGACAUAUCUUUUCAAGAAAAAGGGGGCUUGUUGGACAUAGGAAUCUAGGCUGUACUAGAAUUCACAAGAUCUUAUUCAAAUUUUAACAAAAGUUCAUCUGAGGAUCCCACUCAUCCACCCCCUCCCAUAGCAAAACUAACCUCAUCUGCCGAGCAAGAUGGACGCAGCUAGACAUCACCGUAGGUGAUGGAAAUCAUUUCCAUCAUCUGAAGGCUGCGGCCCACGAACUCCUCUUCUCCUUCCUCGCCCCCGCGCCGACCACCAUCUUCGUCUCCAGCGGCUCCCGCCGCCGGCCUCUGCCCCCGCCCAACAAGCACUCCACCGUUCUCGUGUCCUUGCCCGCCCCCGCGCCACCGCCCUUCCACCGCUGAAGCCGCCGCCAAAUCUUCCGCCACCAAGGUUCGCCGCCGUCUCCACCACCAGCAAAGCUUGCCGCACUCCCCCGCCGCCUACCCCGCCCACCGGAUGUUAUCCGCCACCCGCGGCCGGUGGCGCCCCGCCGCCUCGCCCACUACCUGUCGCUACUGCCGGUCCGCCGCCGCCCAAGGGCCCUCCUCUAUAGUCAGAGAACUCACUGGCGAUAACCCCGACCCCGAUGCCCUCCAACCCCAACCCCGAAGCCCCCAAUCCUAACCGCAGCGAGGAGGCCAGCGACCACCGUGAGCUCGAGGAGGAAGAAGAAUUUGCUGGGCCAUUUGGGCUGAAUUUCCUUCGCUUUAGGUGAUGGCUCGCGCGUUUGUCGUGCGAACGAUGUAUAGCCACGGCGAAGCUAGAUGCCCCACCUCAUUAGCCUCGGAAUAGGUCGUAGAAUUUAUAUCUCAUUAAAUAAGGAUGCGCCAAAACUAUCUACAGAAAUUGAUACAAUUUAUUACCAAAUCUACGUUUAUCAUUGCAGCCACAUAUAUACAUACAGUUCGAGCAAACUGUACAAACAGUUCGAGCAGAGGUAGAAAUUAUUAAGGCCGUAGCCAUCGUCAAGUGGGUACCGGCUGCUGUGGGUGGCGGCAAAAAGGGCCCGAUCGGCAAGCAAAACCUCCACUCCAGUAUAUAUCAUGCACCAUUUCAUUUCAUCAAUCGUGCAGGCACCACCCUCUCUUAUCCUCUCCUCCCACUCGCCUCGCUCGCUCCCCCAAAUUCUCCGCCUCCUCAGUGGCGCGGCGCUGCGUGCCCGCCUAGCUCGGCGUUGCCCUAGUUCCCCCGCCCGGUCGCCGUCGCUCCCGGCGCGCGCUAUGCCAUGAGCAGAGACCUCGAGGACGGGCAGGGCGCCGUCGACAGCGUUGUUGCGGCAGCAGCUGGAGAAGGGGAGCGGGGUAGCGAGGCUCCGACCGCGGCGGGCGGCGGUGGCGGCGGGGACGCGCACGACAACGACGUCGUGAUGCCGGGGUUCCGAUUCCAUCCCACGGAGGAGGAGCUGAUCGAGUUCUACCUCCGGCGAAAGGUGGAGGGCAAGCGCUUCAACGUCGAGCUCAUCGCCUUCCUCGACCUCUACCGUUUCGACCCAUGGGAGCUCCCCGGUAAUAAUCUUUAGUAGGGCAUGCAUCUGCAAGCUUCUAUGCUUGUUCAGCUCAUCACCUGGCCUCCAUCUUCUUCGCUAAUGGCUAUCUAGCCUCGAAUCCCGAUCUGUACUAAUUAAUUCGCUGUAAUCGCUUGUGGCGGUGCUCUCGAUUGCUCGGCGGCGGCGCAGCAAUGGCGGUGAUGGGCGGGAAGGAGUGGUUCUUCUACGUGCCGAGGGACCGCAAAUACCGGAACGGCGACCGGCCGAACCGGGUGACGGCGUCGGGGUACUGGAAGGCGACGGGCGCCGACCGGAUGAUCCGCGGCGAGAACAACCGCCCCAUCGGGCUCAAGAAGACGCUCGUCUUCUACUCCGGCAAGGCCCCCAAGGGCGUCCGCAGCAGCUGGAUCAUGAACGAGUACCGCCUCCCGCCGCCGGCAACCGACGCUGACCCCUUGAUCCCCAAGGUGAAUUAAGCCCGGAAUCCCCAAAGAUUAGGGUUUCCAUAAGCUUAAUAUGCAUUUGCAGGGUUCUUGCUCCAUGCCUCCAUCCCAAAUUCCAAAAAUGUUUUUUUUUGGAAAUUGAGGUCAUGCAAGUAGAACUGUUUAUUUGCGCGCGGUUAAUUACCAAUCAUUUGAUCUGCUUUUCGUUCGGUGCUUUUACUUUGGUCGCAUGAUUUUUGUGAAUAUGCAAGAUGCCUAUUCCUUUUCUUUUCAGAUCUAUACAAGCUAGGGGUUCGCUUUUUUUUUUUCCUUCUUCUUUUUCUACACACAUUUGCGCACCACCGGACAUGUACAAAAGCUACAAUCUAGAGUUACCCUCCUAGCAGCUAGAUACCAUGUCCUUCAGAUUCUGCAAGAUCUUUCAUCUUUGCAUCCCUCAACCUCAAGCUAAACUCAUUGAUUUCCAUUUGCAGAAUACUCAGAUCUGAACUUAAUUGAAACACUCAAUUAUCCCUCCUGUCUCAACUCAUCUCACAGUUGUCUUUUUUGACGAGUAGUUGAUGCUUGAUGAUCUUAAAAUUCAUGUAUACUCUAAGCUUAAUCUGUAUACAGUAUAUGUUUUUUUGGUCUAUGAACUGGUGUACUCAGAUGUUUGUUACAGAUUCUUCAGUUUAUAGGAGUACGUUCUUUCCUUUUUCUUUCCAACAAGAAAUGGAUACUGACCAUUUUUCUCUUCUGACGGUGAUGAUACAGUCCGAGAUCUCGCUCUGCCGCGUCUACAAGCGCUCUGGCAUCGACGAUGGCCAUGGGCAGUCAUCCUCCAGUACCCAAGCUUCCUCAGGGCGGGGGGUCUCCUCCCGCACCAGCGUGCCUCCGACCGGUCGGCAUGGAUCCUCACCGUCUUCCACGCCACUGUCGCCGACGCAACUGUCACCGACGCAGCAGCUCAGCAGCUUCCAUCUACUCCAAGGGGAAUGCUCGUCUGCCUCACCGCCGGCGCCCAUCAUGGACCAAGUGGUCACCGUGCACACUGCGCCGCCGCUUCUGCCUCCCCCAAGGCCAUGCACGUACGCGCCGGCGGCGACGACGAUAAGAUCAACAGCGGCAGUUGCGCCGCAACGGGCACAGGGCGCGGCGGUCAUCCCCUCCUCCACGUACUCAUCACUGCUCAACAUGGCCGCCGGCGCUGCGCCUAUGGCCGGCAGCUCAAGGCCCAUCGAUGAGCUGAUGAGCACGCCGCGGCUGGUUAGUCCCAGCCAGGCCUACGCUAACCUCUCGGCCGUGACGGGCAGCCACUUCCUCCCCUUGAUGCCCGCGCCACCGCCGCCAAUGCCACAAAUGACGCCGCUCGGCACGCUGCCGAUGGUGCCGCUACCGCCUUCUGUCACUGACAAGCUCAGCUGGGAUUGGAACCCGGUCCCUGACACGACAGCCCAAGAUUACAAUGCUUCUGGUUUUAAGUGAGCCCAAACUCACUGUUAAAUUCUGAAAACCUGCCAUCAGUGUAGGCUAACAUAUAUACCCUUAGCUUCAAUCAGUCGACAGAGAUUACAAUGCAUGUCAGUUAGUAUAUAUAUCAAGAAUACUAAAUGGAUUGUUCAGGAACUGAAGAUGGUUUGUAAGCAUAAUGUGAGAUCAUUUUAAAAAUCAGCAUCAGCAUGCAAGUUUAAUUCACUUCCGAUUCUUCCAUGCAUGUCUUUAACAACUAAUUAACAUAAUUGGUGUACUUUUCUUAGUAAUUCCAAAAGGUUUUGGUAGGUUUUCUUUUUGCAGUUAAACUGCAAGGCACACAUGAAAUAAUGUGAGCAUGAUUGGACGGAGCCCGUUGCAGCAGGUGUUGUUUCUUUCAGCAUGAUUGGGGGGAAGAAUUGAAGGGGGUGGACAAUGUCAGAUAAAAAGCUUUGCAUGUGCCCACAGGAAUUCUGAAUCUUUCAGAUCUAGAGGUGAUGACUGUCUUGUGCAUCCAUGGAAUGAUUCAUGUGAUUAUUGCAACAGCUUUUGUUCUUUACCAUUGCAACAGUGCUUGGUCAUUGUUCUCAGUCACUUGGUGCUAACAGUCACCGAGCACAUAUACUGUGCUUCUUCUUCUCCUUCUUCUUCUUUUGCUGAAGAGAAAAGGUAAAAACAAGACAAGCUGCAGAUGCAUUUGUGGGUAAGAUUGAGAUGCUGUCUCUGUUGUAUAUAUCUACAUUCUGAUUGAAGGAAAAGACGAUCUAUUUGGCAGAUGAUCAAAAGGCUACUCAUCAGUUUGUUUUAUCGAUCAAUUCACCGAGAUGACUCAUCCAUGUUGGAUGCUUCAUAUUUUGGUGCGUUCUCUGCAGUCUAUAAAUUGUUGUUACAUUAGGCUGUUGUAUGAAUGAUUAUGCAUAUAUGUAGCCAAGGAAGUUAGAUAUAGAUAGCUAACUGUAGAAGAAGCAGCAGUUUCUAGCUAAUUGCAGGUUGCCCAAAGAAAAAAAUAGAUAAAUAAUGCGUGCUAAAUAUUUCGGUCGCAGAUCAGAAACCGCCCAGCCUUCGUUUCGGACCAGGUGAGCAACGAUUUAAUUGCUUUUGAUGUAGCGCUAUAUAUCUCCUCUCAAAGGACAUCUAUAUAUAUAUAUAUAUAUAUAUAUAUAUAUACCCAAUAGCAAGGAUAGUUAGCAAAUAAUGGGCAUCUGAACCAAACACAUAUGUCCUUAAUAGAGCGUUACUGUGCAAUUUAUGUGAGUUUUUACAUAUUGAUGAUCAAAGCUAUUCAAGUUUGACUUGGAAGUAGGUUGGUAUGACCUCUAGCAAAAUUGCUGACAAACUCGCAUUGUAUUGUUAUUCUUUUUUGUUUGAUCAAACAUAGUUAAUUAGCUCCAAAAAUGCCAUCCCUUCAUUAAUUGCUGACAAACUUAAUUAUGUUGUGGCAAGAAAUGAAUGCCAAGCUAGCAAUGCCAUGAAUCUGGCACCUCUUCUGGAUGACAUUUUGAUUUAACAAAUAGGAGUGCUUUCUCACUUCGACACUAACUAGAAAGGCUUGCGGCUUUGCAGCAUGGGGCCCGUGUCCCGCAUGGGGCCCGUGUCCCGCAUCGUAGUAUCAUAGUUGUUGCAGACUUUAGUUUAUACAUGCAGUAGUUGUUGUAUACAUGUAAAUAUAAAAAAAAAUUAAGCAACAUAGUUAAGAUAAAUCCACCGUUUCGUUAUUUUCGCAUAGGUGUCAUGGUCUGCCCGUCGUUGCAUUUGGUAUAUAUUUUGAGCAUUCUAUUGUCGUGACGCUACUAUCUAAAUAGUAUAUUAUUUUGGGUAUCAAAAUGGAGGUAUGACAUUUGUUACUGCAUUUAUUAUGGUGAAAGAAGGGAUAAAAUAAUUUAUUAGGGAGGGUGGAGCACAAUUAGUCGGAUAUUUAAUGUAUUUACAAAAUCAUGAGGCAAUUAAUAGAUGUGAUAUUUUUUAAGGAAGUAAUGGUUAUAUUAAAAUAUGCCGCGUUAUUGUGGAGGUCGCAUGAGAAGCUAUAGAAGAACGGUAGUAUAAUAUUAUAUUUUUAGCAAAAUAAGAUGUUAUGUUGAACGAAUUACGAAAAUAUUUUGAACUUACAAUUUUGUUAUGUAACAAAACUUUAGUGCGUUAUUGUGGAGGUCGCAAGCUAUAGAAGAACGGUAGUACAAUAUUAUAUUUUUAGCAAAAUAAGAUGUUAUGUUGAACGAAUUACGAAAAUAUUUUGAAUUUACAAUUUUGUUAUGUAGCAAAACUUUAGGUUUUAAAAUUUUGAGCAAUUUUUGUAUUUAAAAUUUUUAGAAGCAUUUCGAAUUUGAAAUUUUACUAUAUAGUAAAGAUGCAGAUUUUGGAAUUCUAAGCAACUUUUGUAUUGAUUAUUUUUUGAUUUGAAGAUGUUUUGGUGUCCAAAUUUUAGAUGCAACGGGUCGCAUGUAAUUAUCUAUGCAAAUGAAUUGUGAAAGCAUUUUGAAUUUUAAAAUUUACUCUAUAAUAAAUAUGUAGUUUUGAAUUUUAAGUCAAGUUUUAUGUUGAAUAACUUUUGAUUCCAACGCAUUUUGGUGUUUAAAUUGUACGUAUAAUGUUAUUCGUGUAGAAAUAAUGAAUGUAACGGGUUGCGGUUUGAUUUAAUUAAAAUGCGAGGGUUUUUGUAAAACUUUUGCUGGGAGAGGACCAGGAUGGCGGUUUGAUUUAAAAAAACUGAAGGUUUUAUUUGCAACUUUUCCUAAAUCUGAAAUGUUGGACCGCGGGUUGAUUUUGGAAAAGUUGAGAGCGCUUUCGCAAAAUUACCUGAGAUAGGUGGCCGGACUGCGGGUUGAUUUAUCUAAAGUUUAAGGAUUUUUUUUAAAGUGGCUGGGAAUUUUAAGAUCCGAACUAUCCGGCCCGCGACGUGGCAUGCUCUUUGGCACUCUUUUGGUGCGUCAAUCAUAUAUAGAGAUUGUCAGAGGAAUUCUCCAGCCGGGUGGCGGAAUGCACUCGCCUAAUCCUAGUCUAGGAUAGGUUUGGGGAGAAUCAAGGAACGCUAGAUCAUGAGGCGUAUGAACACGAAAAGCACACAAGAGAUUUAGAGUGGUUCAGGCCGCCGGAGCGUAAAACCCUACGUCCACUAUGUGUUGUACUGCCUGAGCUUAUGAAUCUUGUGUGUUCGUGGAACUUCCGUGAAUCUUAGUAAGCCUGUGCGGGUGUGCCUAAGCUUGAUAGAGCACCUGAGCGGCUUGAGAGAGCCUUUUCCGACUUGUGUUCUAACGCGCGCGCUCUCCCUUUUAUAGGCUCAAAGGGAGCGCGUACAUUGAGCGGGGUCCCGACAGGUGGACCCGGCGAUAUAUUAAAUAACGCACACAUCGGAGCCUGAAAUGCUACAGAUCGGAAAUCUUCCUCAUCAGGCUCCGUGCGUGUCCUCCGUCUGGAUUUGGUCUCGUGCCAUCUCGCCUGCACAGGGUCUAUUGUGAAUGACAUGCACAGUGGGAGACGUGCUGACACUGUUCGGUCACAGUUCCCGCUGACAGGCGAAGGGGCUAUGUUGACCUGCCGUGCUGUAGCCUCCGCGCGCACUGUAACAGCGCACGCCGCGGCCCUCCUGCAGCAGAUCAUAAUGACUCCUUGCUCACGCGCGCGGCGCUGUGAUGUGACUAUUCGCCGCCCGCCCACGCACGCGGCGCGGCGACAUGACGCACCGUCUCGGUAACUGGCGGGCUUAUCGUGAUGUCGGCCAUACCUGCCCGUCGUGUCAGAGGGCAGCCCAUGCUCUGUCUCGGGCACGCCCACCCCAACCACCCGCAUUUAAUACGGUAGUUGGGUUGGCUUCCCGUGGAAGACUGGAACCCUUCGGACACGUGGCGGCGCUGGUUUAGCAGGUGCCUCCCCAAGGGCACGUGGCGGUACCAGACCUCUUCUCAGGUGGGAAGGGAGGUCCGGGCCGCACCAUCUGGCGCUGGCGCACAGGUCCCCUGGGGGUCCGGCUUCCACACGUAGGGGCCAGGACUACCCCGCGGUGGUCCGGGCCCGCGGUAGCCGUUUCUGAGCACCAUGUCCUCCUGGGCACGUGGAAGCGCCGGACCUGCUAGACCACGGGGUGAGGUCCGGAGACCGUGACCCCAGCUGUCAGGCUCGGGCCGUACGCCCGUCACCCAAAGGUUUAGUGCGAGGUUAUGGAUACCCUCGCGCCUCUCGGGCUGGACACACUGGCAGGAGGUACCCCUGUCUGUCUGUAUGUACCAACAGAUAUUUUAUAUCCAUGAUAGCUGAAAUGAGGAAGCAUGCAGGAAAGCCACAUGAAAUCAUACACAACUAAAAUGCUGAAAAAUAGGAUAUGCCAAGUUUGUCGAUUUGUAUCACCGUUUUCCUACUUGUAGUUCACAUUAGAGAACUGUGAAAUAGUGUUUAUAUGCAACAAAUAAAAACAUAAAAAGACUGCAUGCCAUGAUGCCAAGAAUUAGUGACUUGUUGAGAGAGCACGGGAAAGUAUUUAAGAUUAAUAAAGUAUUUCAUAACAGUUCUAAAAUAUAAUUAAAUGGUAAAUUAAUCAUGUACUUCCCUCUGAUCACAAAUAUAAAUCCACUAAGCUCUAUACUAAUUCAAUGUUUAAAUUUAACAUCAAAUUUGGAAACUUGACAUAGAUUAGAAACACGUGAUGAUUUAUGGGCAUUACUAGAUUCACACUUAAAAUACUUUCAUAAUAUACAACUCUGAUAGUUUAUUUAAGAUGAUAUAUCUUUAUAGACAUUUUCAGUCAAAGUGUCAUAUUAAAACCUGUGUCAAUGUUGGAACAAUGGACUUAUUUAUGUGAUUAGAGGAAGUAAAAACUUUUUAAAUCCAUGUAUAUAUAAUUUGACAAAAUGAGGGUAAAGGUUUAUGCUUGUGGCUAUUAGAUGGAAAUAUAGUUUGUUACGGACUCUUCCUUGUUUAGAGAGAGCUGCGCCUCUCUGCCGUGAUUCAUGUGUAUUGGUUGUGGAUUACAAUCCCAACCGUGUAUAUCUCCAACUCUCCUGUAACCUCAUACAUGAGCAAUAUAUAUACACCGGCUGUGACCCCUGAGGGCACUGAGCCAAGCCAAUUAACAUGGUAUCAAAGCCAAGGGCUUAAUCGAUCUAUGUCCAUUGUUACAUCCUUCUCCCCUACCGCCGCUUCAACUGCUGCGCCGUCCAUCAUGUCGACCACCACCGUUCCCCUCCACCACACUGUCAACAUCAAGCUCAACAAAAACAACUUCUUGCUAUGGUGUGCGCAGCUUCUUCCAUACCUACAGAGCUCCAGGUUGAUCAGAUAUCUUGACGGUAACCUCGUCGCACCGGCGCCACAGAUCGCGGCGUCCACAGAGACCGGCGCUGAGCUGGUCCCCAAUCCUGCCUAUGAGCAAUGGUAUAAUACCAUCGAUGUCUGAAGAGGUGCUUCGUGACGUCAUUGAUGCCACGACAUCAAAGGAAGUUUGGGAUUCCAUCCGGACGAAAUUUUCCUCCUCGACCCGUGCUCGCACAGUGCAGCUACGCGUCGAGCUCGCCACCUUCAAGAAAGGUGAUCUAUCGGCGGCAGAUUAUUUUUCCAAAGUCAAGAACCUUGCUUCAGAGAUGGCUGCUACAGAUGCCGCUCUUCAUGAUGACGAAGUUCUGGCGUAUCUUCUCGCCGGGCUUCCCUCGGACUACGACCCCUUCGUUACAUCUAUAACGACCAAGGACUCCGUCUCCCUCGACGACGUCUGCGCCCACCUCGUCACCUUUGAGGCGCGUCAACUACGGCAUCAUGCAGAUCUUCAGCUACAGAUGAGGUCAUCUGCCAACUAUGCUGGCCGAGGUGGCCAGUCCAAGGGCCAUGGUGGUGGGCGCUCCCGCGGCCGUGGAGGUGGGCUCUCUCGUGGGGGUGCACUGUCACGUCCCAACGACCACCGCCCGCCCAGCUCUACUCCGCGCCCUAUCUGCCAGAUUUGCAGCAAGAUAGGUCACACAGCCAUACGCUGCUGGUACCGCAUGGAUGACUCCUACUCCGAGGAGCCUCCUUCCGUGAACGUCACCACCUCAUCCUCGAAGGUUGAUACCGACUGGUACACCGACGCCGGCGCCACCGACCACAUCACCAGCAAUCUGGAUCGUCUUGCCGUCCGUGAACGCUACCAUGGCAAUGAACAAGUCCAAGUCAGCAACGGAUCAGGUUUGUGAAUUACGCAUAUUAGUCAUUCCUCUCUUAAUACUGCCGAUCGUCCUCUUGCAUUACGUAAUAUCCUUCAUGUUCCCAACAUUACUAAAAACCUCCUUUCGGUUCACAAAUUUUCACGAGAUAAUGACAUCUUCUUUAAAUACCAUCCUUGGUAUUUUUCUAUUAAGGACCGACAGUCGAGGAGAAGCCUACUGGACGGUCGAUGUGAGUCGGGCCUCUAUUCAAUCAAGUCCACCGAUCUCCCUGCGCUCAAGCAUGCCCUUGCAGAAAGAUCUACUACCUACUCUCAUUGGCAUGCACGCCUUGGACAUCCUGCAACCCCAGUAGUCCGGUCUAUUUUGCAUUUAAAUAAACUCUCAUGUUCUAGAGAUAAUUCAUCAUCAGUUUGUGAUGCGUGUCAGCUUGCCAAGAGUCACCAGUUGCCUUAUACACAUUCUAUUCAUCAUUCUACUUCUCCUUUGGAGAUUAUUCACUCCGAUGUUUGGGGCCCGGCCCCUAGCUCUGUUGGUGGCUUUUCUUAUUACAUCAGUUUUAUCGAUGAUUUUAGCAAAUUUUGCUGGAUUUACUUAAUGCAUGCCCGUACUGAUGCUCCUCGUAUCUUCAUGGAGUUUAAGACUCAUGUAGAGCGUCUCAUUGACAGAAAGAUCAAAUGUGUUCAAUCCGAUUGGGGUGGGGAAUAUAAAAAAAUUCACAACACCUUCUUUCACUCCUUGGGUAAUACCCAUCGUGUCUCGUGUCCUCACACCCACCAGCAAAACGGCUUAGCCAAACGGAAACAUCACCACAUUGUAGAGACUGCGCUUGCUCUUUUAGCUCAUGCACAUAUUCCCAUUAAAUUUUGGGAUGAUGCUUUUCUCACCACCACCUAUCUCAUAAAUCGUAUGCCUACUCGUGUCAUCGAUAAUACUAGCCCUUUAGAGCGUUUUUUUCACACUCCUCCAAAUUAUUCUAUGCUGCGUGUUUUUGGAUGUGCAUGUUGGCCCCAUCUUCAGCCCUACAACAAGCAUAAGCUAUCCUUCCGAUCUAAGGAGUGUGUGUUCUUGGGCUAUAGCUCACUCCAUAAGGGGUAUAAAUGUUUUGAUCCCGAUUCUGGCCGCAUUUAUAUUUCACGAGAGGUCAUUUUUGAUGAAAAUGUUUUUCCCUUCCAGCGUUUGUCCAUGUCUCCUAACCCUCCAUUACGUGACAAACAAUUGGACGAUCACAGUAUUUUGUUGAGCUAUGAUCCUAUGCAUGUUCGUUUGCCUGCUGUUUCUUUGGAUGCAGAUAAUCCGGCGAAUGCCUGCGCCACCUCCCGCUCAGCUGCAGGAGCCUCCGGAAUAAGUGCCAAUGAUGGGCACUGCUGCGCCUGCUCCACCUCUGCCGGUGAAUCCUUCUCGGGUUUCUGCGCCGACAGCGGCUGAUCGCCCUGCGCCCUGUCCGGCCUCAGUGGGCGCGCAACCACCUGCCUGCACCCUGUCUGGGGCCGCUUCUGUAUCCCCUAGCGGGCCCGCCUCUGCUCCCCAUGCAGCGGCACCACCUGGUGGCUCCAACACCACUACGGCCACCCAGGAUGCUGUAUCAACAGAUUUGGACCCUGCUUCUGGUUCUGAGGAGCAUGCAAUACUGGAAUCGGUGUCUCACCCUGCUGCACACCCAUACGGCACCAGACUUCAACACAACAUUCGCAAGCCCAAACAACGCACAGAUGGCACUGUUACAUACUUUGCGGUACGGUCCUCUGAUUCAGCUUCUACUUCUCACAUUGUUGCUCUUAAUAAUCCUCUUUGGAGACGGGCUAUGGAUGAUGUGUAUCGUGCUCUCAUAAAAAAUGAUACUUGGCACCUUGUUCCUCCUCGACCUGGCUUGAAUGUGAUUGAUUGCAAGUGGGUUUUCACAAUAAAGCAGAAACCUGAUGGCUCGGUUGAUCGCUAUAAGGCUCGACUAGUUGCUAAAGGAUUCAAACAGCAAUAUGGUGGGGAUUAUGAUGCCACCUUCAGUCCGGUUGUGAAGCCCACUACAAUUCGACUUCUUCUAUCAUUGGCUGUCUCUUGUGGCUGGCUUAUUCGGCAAAUCGAUAUUCAAAAUGCCUUCCUUCAUGGUUUUCUUGAUGAAGACGUCUAUAUGAAGCAACCACCAGGUUUUGAGGAUUCCUCUCGUCCGGAGUAUAUUUGCAAGCUUGAUAAGUCACUGUAGGGCCUAAAACAAGCACCCCAUGCAUGGUUCUCUCGCCUAAGCACCAAGUUACUUGCCCUGGGUUUUUCGGCCUCCAAAGCAGAUAUCUCUCUGUUUCUUUUUAACAAAGGUGGCAUCAAGAUCUAUUUUCUUAUAUAUGUUGACAAUAUACUCAUCAUUAGUUCAUCUUCAGUGGCAAUUGAUCGCUUGCUUGGGCAACUAUGAGAUGAUUUCGCGGUAAAAGACCUUGGACCCCUGAGUUAUUUUUUAGGUGUUGCUGUACAUCAUCAUGCCGAGGGUCUCACCUUAACGCAGCACAAGUACAUCCAUGAUCUUCUUUCCCGGACUAAUAUGCUUGCUGCUAGUGCUGUUGUCACGCCGAUGGCCCCCGAUGAAAAGAUUACUCUAACAGAUGGGGAACCUUUGUCGCCAGAGAACUCCACUUGGUAUAGGAGUGUUGUGGGAGCACUCCAGUAUCUAUCACUGACUCGACCGGAUAUCUCGUUUUCAGUCAAUCGUGUUUGUCAAUAUAUGGCUGCCCCUACUUCAGUGCAUUGGUCUGCAAUUAAACGCAUUCUUCGUUAUCUCCGAGACACAAUUGAUUAUGGCUUGGGUUUUAUCAAGACUGGAUCAUUGCUACUUAGCGCCUUUUCAGAUGCAGAUUGGCUGGUAAUUUGGACCAGCGUAGUACCGUUGGCUACGCCAUCUUUCUUGGGGGCAACCUUAUUUCUUGGAGUUCUCGCAAGCAAGCAAGCUACUGUGUCCAGGUCGAGCACUGAAGCUGAAUAUAAAGCCGUCGCUGAUGCCACAGUAGAGAUCAUCUGGCUUCAGGUUCUUCUUCGCGAACUUGGAAUUUCUCUCCCACGUCCGCCGAGCUUAUGGUGUGAUAACAUAGGCGCUACAUAUCUCACGGCAAAUCCAGUUUUUCAUCGUCGUUUGAAGCAUGUGGAGGUUGAUUAUCACUUUGUCCGUGAGCAUGUUGCCAUGAAAUAGCUUGAAGUUGGCUCCAUAUCGUCGAAGGAUCAAUUGGCUGACAUCAUGACAAAGGCGCUUCCUACUCCGGCACUCAAGCAUUUCAGGAACAAUCUGAACUUAUUUCCACGGCGUCCAGAUUGAGGGGGGUAUUAGAUGGAAAUAUAGUUUGUUACGGACUCUUCCUUGUUUAGAGAGAGCUGCGCCUCUCUGCCGUGAUUCACGGCGUAUUGGUUGUGGAUUACAAUCCCAACCAUGUACAUCUCCAACUCUCCUGUAACCUCAUACAUGAGCAAUAUAUAUACACCGGCCGUGACCCCUGGAGGGCACUGAGCCAAGCCAAUUAACAGUGGCAUUUUGCCACUUUCUUCAUCUAGAUCAGAUAAAAAUUAUAGAGCAAUUUCCCCCGUUGAUCUCUUGAUUUGUAGUCAUUAAUUUGAAGUAUGUGCAUAUUGUUAGCUGGUUAAUCAUCAACCGGCAGUUCUCAUACAUAUUCGAAAGAUCAACGAUCUGUCCUGUGCUAAGCAACUUGUCAUGCAAAAGAUCCAUCCUCUUCCUUUUGGGCAUCCACACAUCAUACGCCUUCACUAACUGAAGAAAAAGCUAGCAUUGACUCUUAUCAUGAGCUACAGCAGUAAAGCUAACUGGUCCAGCUCCGAGCAAUGCUACUAUGCAUGCAUUCCGUUUGGAUCAUAAUGCUGCUGGCGAUGAUGAUGAGCAAGCAGCAUCACCAUGACUUCCAAAUUUCCACAAUUCUCGUCUCAUCUCUAGCCCCACGCAUGUGCAUACCACACUGCAAAGAUCGAUGAUGGCCGCUAUCAGAUGCGUAAGAUCAGGAGCUUCAGUUUCCGGUGUUGCAGACGGCCGGUGUUCAUCAGAAUUACACAACCCCAAACAAUUGGUCGCCGUCAGGUUAAGCCACGAAAACCUUGCUAUCAUUGGCCGUCCGUCUGAUCGACACGACGCAGGCAGAACUGACCGAAUACUUUGUAGAGCUACAGAGCGCAACUCUUCGAACAAUUUCGACACGUGCUGGAAGUCUCUCUCUUGUUGUGUUAUCUGCUUCGGAUGUGAUGGACAGCAAGUAGUACCUACCGACCUAGCUAGUUCUGGAACCCCUGGGGAAAAAUUAAAAUCUUCAGAACAUUGUCGGCACAGCACGCUUCCAGGUCAAGCACGUCCAUGACAGUCCAAAGAAUGCGUGUACUAACCAAUGCGAGAAUGUCUUCAUUGAACAGUCAUGUGUGUACCUGGUCUGGUUUACUGGUGAAUGUCUCCAAGUUGGCUAGAGGAGGCAACCAUCAGGCAAUGUAAUCAAUGGAAGCUCUUGCGAUCUGUCCUGAAAAACACACGAGGCUAGAAGUUCAUGUACAGCUAUGUAGCAAGGUACGCAACUAACAGGUCCCAAGGAGAAAAUUCAGAGAAUGUCCGCCUAUUAUUCUUAUUCCAUAAACCGUGGUUCGUUCAAUCCUUGCUUCCUUUGAUUGCGCUCUGUUUGUCAAUAUUCUGUCCUUCCACAUGAAUCAGUGCAGGAGCAGGACAUGCCUUGAACCUUUCCAGUGUUCUGCACCAAAAACUUCUGUACUUCGGCGGAGACGGGGUAAAGGAUGCUCAGGCUGUCAGGCUCAGGCAGGGCCUUGCACAGAUUGUGCUAGUGAACUUCUGAAGAACUAGCUGAAGUGCUGAUGAACACCAAGAGACUACAGUAUAUGGCACAAUGAUGAGGACUUCAGAAUUCACAGUUCUUUUACUUCGAACAAGGGGAAAGUGGCUGGCUAUAUAUCUCAUGGAGCAAGAUCAUCAACACAUAGCACCAGGCACCAACUUACUGAGUUUAAAACCAGAAUUUUAACGCAGAGAUUAGCGCGGUCUUAGCUUUUCUCGUACUAUAACAUUGGAAUUUUAUCCCAAAUGCUAGAACCUGCUGCUAUAUAGUUACUGGAAUGUCCUGUUCUUGAAAAAGGUGAGCAUGCAGAACAAAUACCAAACUGAAAAGACAGGAUGUUCUUGGAGCAUCUCGCUGCUACUGCCAGUAGGCAUUCUUCUUCAAUGGACGGAAGCUACUGUCAGCCUGCCACCAUGCUGGACCAAAGGCCAAAAGUGGAGUUCUCCCUACUGUGCAAGGAAGCAUGACAACGCAAAUUGCAGACUGCUUUCAGAAUUCAGACACCUCCACAUCCUGGAGCCACUUGAUCCUGGAUUGAGUUAAUCCAAAUGUUCCAUGACAACAUAUGCAGUGACUCUAGUAAGGUUACUGUGCCCCGUCAACGAAGUGGCCUGUGUAAAAGUGCAACUGUAAUGUCAUGGGAAGUCUGCUGAGCUGAUUAGGCCUAUUGGGCUAGGCCCAUUAGGGUUAAGUUAGGGAUAAGAUUGGAUCUCUUACUUAGGUGUUAAGUUAGUCUCUCUAUAUAAGGAGAGGAGAAGUACCAAUCAGUAAGAUCGUUGCCCCUGAGGUGCGGCUACCACCUAUCAGUAAGAUCGUGCUGCUUGGGUACGGUUUAGGACCAAUAAGAUCUCAGUUGUCAUGACUACUUCUCGCAUGAACUCAAGCGUGUUUCAAAUCAAAAAAUAAAUGGAAUUAAAAAGUUAGCUAAACAAUAGCUAUGAACACAUAGGUACUGAUGGGAUAAAAUUUUGAAGCCGUGGUACUAAGGGAAUUUCAGAAAAAUCUAUGGUAUCAAGAAAAACCAUGUUAAUUUGUAUAGUGCUGAGGUAAUAUUGGCUCUGUUACUUUUGGUUUUGGAUUGCUUUUCUUGCCCUUCUAAUAAGUACAUGUGAGAUAUGCUAAUUUGUUUUGAAGUGCUGAUCCAAGUUUGUAAGAUAUUCUGAAGAUCACCGGAAAAGACCCAAAGCUUCGCUUGCAUGGGUGCUGGAAUGCUGGUACAAGAUUCACAUAUUGACGUGCCGUUCAUUUAAUUUGGACCUUUUCAGCUUCCACCUUACAACAGUUUUCUUUUUCCCGACAAAAAAACAAGAGGGUGGCUAACCUUAUUGGUUAACUAAUAAGCAACCAUCUACCUAUCCAGUGACUGAUGUUUGCUAUAAAUCUAUCAAGCGAUAAAACAAUAGCAUGCAGCCACGUUGAGCAAGUAUUUUUUUUUUGGUGCUGCUACAGAUAGGCAUCGGAGGCUCUCACCCUCUCGCGAGCCUUAUCCGAAGGGCUAAGGCUGACUCCAACGGGUGGCAGCCAUUUGGCCCAUCCAUCCUGGAGUUUGCCUGCCCCGUCAAGUCUACAUUGCCAUCGAUGGAGCUGCUGUUUCCAACGGAGCAGCUAAAAUAGCUGGAGACGUUGGGCCCAGGCUGGUUCGCGCCACGGAAAGGAAAAUGCCGCGCUAGUUGCCGCCACAGAAGCGAAAACAAGGCCCCGUCGGCGCACCUCGUCCGAGCUGGCGGCGGCCUCUCGCGCCUCGCCUCCUAGCGACGGAUCGGCGGCGUAGCCCCCGCCGGCCGCCGGUACUCGCGUGGCCCAACUCCGCCUUUGAGGUGCGGCGGAGGCGGAGGAGCUCCGCCUCGGGGACGCACCCGAGCGGCUUCCCCUCAACGACGCAGCGGCGGAGGAGGAGCUCCGCCUCGGGGACGCGCCCGAGCAGCUCCCCCUCAACGACGCAGCGGCGGAGGAGGAGCUCUGGCUCGGGACGCGCCCGAGCAUCUCCCCCUCAACGACGCAGCGGCGGAGGAGGAGCUCCGCCUCGGGGACACGCCCGAGCAGCUCCCCCUCAACGACGCAGCGGCGGAGGAGGAGCUCGGCGUCGGGGACGCGCCCGAGCAGCUCCCCCUCAACGACGCAGCGGCGGAGGAGGAGCUCCGCCUCGGGACGCGCCCGAGCAGGUCCGCUGAAGACGCGGCGGAGGUGGAGGGGACGCGCCUAAGCAGCUCCGGCGCCGGUCUACUCCGCUCCGAAGCCCGCCGCCGUUCUACUGUACGAAGCCCACCACCGAUCUGCUAUUUCAACUCCAUUCGUAUUGAUUUCUCUGCAAAUCUGCUACGGGAUUGUAUGAUUUUUCUGAUUCAAUUAGUACGUCGAUUAGUUCAGUCCGAUUGUUGGUUUGGAGUAUCAUCCUAUCGAUUGAUGGACAAACCAACAGGCAAUUUGGUUCGUAGCCAUGGUCUCGCUUGUAGCUCUGCGCAUAACUUUUGUAAUUGAUAGAUUAUUGUAUUGCUUACAAUGACCAGUAAAUGUUUUAUUCCCCUAAAGUGUGACCAGUACAUAAUUUCCGUUUCAUAUUGGCUUGUAGCCACGAAUCCACCAUGCUCUUCCUAUCACUGCAAUAGCUAGCAUGCAUGCUAUGCACACUCAAGGUUCUCCUGUUUGAGGCUGCUCCCAGCAUCAUAUCAAUCAGCUAGCGUGAUAUCCCUUUUGUGGAUUGUAUUCAUACGUGGAAAAAUACCUAGUUGUCAUUAAUUAAUUUCUACUCCUGUAGUGGUAACAUCAUAUAGCAUGUCUCAUAAAGGCUUGACAAUGGAAAAGUGGAGUACUUAAGUCAUCGCCUACAGCUUACCGAUAAUAGGGUCCUUGCUAACAUGCAGAAAUGCUGAGCAGAUUGCCCUGUCUUCCUCGUGGGUGAACGACCUUCCUCGCUGGGCAAGCCUCUUCUUCCCCUUUCUGUUUGAGACUUGGGUUCCAUCGACCUCUUCAACCUCUGGGUCCUCGGUGGGAGCAAGAGGAAAUGAUGCAUUGACAAGAGAACUUGCAGGCUGAGAUGGUACGCCCAUGUUAUGCAUUGAUCCACUAAAUGCACCGUUAAGGUUGUACUGAAAAAAACAGAGAUGUGAUUAGUGAAACAUUUAAAGUACGAUAUGCAAAAUCCAAAAGGAAGGAAACAUACCUUCUCAAGUUCCCUUAUGGUUGAUGGCAGAGGUAACGACAACUCAUUGGAAUUGUCACCUCCUUGAGACGGACCACCCUGAAACAUGUAACCAUUGAAUUGGUUGUCCAUCCUGGAAUAAUGAGUGUAUACUUUGUUAAAUAAUUGACUCCAUUACUGCAAGCAAGUAGGGCAUAUUUAUAAAUCGAACGAAAUCGUGCCCACAUCUAAAUCAAAGGAAAUCGAACACAAUCAGCAUCACAGGCCACAAAAGAUGCAGUGAAACUGAAAUUGAAAUGAAAAAUCAUAGAAAUAUCAACUGUCAAUUUCGUUUGGAAGUUCAAACUUCCAGUUGCAAACUAAUUGUAGAUCAUUUAAUUAUAACUAAAGCAUUGAAAAAAAUAAACACAUAUUCCAACUGCAAUGGAAAUUAGAGCUCUAAAGUUUCAGCUUGUGAUCAAUCCAUGGCCCGUGGAUAUCGAUCGAAGGAAAAAAAUAAAUACAUACGUCCUUAAGUAUCAUUAACUAACUCCUUCCUGUCUUGCAACAGGCCAUGUCUGUUACUACGACUGUUGGCCUCAUACAAGACAUACUGCAAGUUUGUCUUUGCUAUCAACAUAAAUUCAAAUCGUUGUUCCUUUCAAAUAUUCAGCAACGAUUCGAGCUAUAUAUAUUGUGCUCAAAAGAUAAAGAGAAAUAUGAGCGACUCUCCACAUGCAAAACAUAAUCUUUUCUGUGAUGCAGUUAAGUAGCCAGCACUGAAUCUUAAGCUUUCCAUAGCGAUACUGCAAUAGUACUAUGUAAUGGACAGCAAAAGAUAUUGGGGAAACAAUAAAAGGGAUUGCGAAAACAAAUUUGACACAAUUUUCGUUUUAGUAGUGAGGGUGCUCAGAAACAUUUCCUUUGCUUAAGCAUUUGCUGCGCUACAGAUCGAAAUCAGGGGCGAACCAGCAUAGGACAUGGCGCUACAGAUCAAAAUCAGGGGUGGAACCAGCAUAGGACAUGUACACCCGAUAAUUCUUGCAAACGAAAUCGAAGUUAGUACGUAUAUAUUGUAACUGGAUUCAGAUCCGGCGCUAAAAUAGGGUUUGGGGUGCUCCGUCUCGCACAGCAGAAGAAAAGAGAGGGGGCGGGCAUACCUGGACGAUGCGCUCGUCGCCAGCAAAGGGAGGGAGGAAGAACGCACCUUGUCCGCGCGUCGGUGACCGAGGUGAGGAGGACGGGAUUCGCGCCGGCGGCGGCCGAGGCGAGGAGGACGAAAGUGCGCCGGCGGCGGUGAAGUGGCCGCUGGGAUCGACCCUGCGGGGAGGAGGGGAAGGCGCGUCGGUGGCCGAGGCGACGAGGACGGGAUGCGCGCCGGCGGCGGUCGAGGCGGGGAGGAGGGGAACUCCAAACCGAUGGAGACGGAGGGGGAGCGGGAUGGGGAGAAGGAAGCCGCCUUGCUGCCGUUGGUACGACUGGGCCCAGCACCGAUCGCUAGCGGCAACAGUACCGGCCAGUUUAGCUGCUUCUCCCUCCUGCCGCUAUUUUGGCUGGCCCAAAUGGCUAGCCUGUUGGAACACCCCUCCGAGCGCUACAGUACCCACGUGGGAGCCAUUUUUGCUUUGCCUGCCCGGAUGGCUGCUCCGUUGGAGUCAGCCUAAGAGAAGAAGCAGAAGGGCGUGUCGCUCCUGCUCCGCCGCUGUCUGCCGGAGCUCCAGGGCGGCGGCGCACAAGGCCGGCGGCGAGCCUCGCGCUGGCAGCAGCGAGCUCCGGGCUGUGAGCUUCGGGGCGGCGGUGAGCCUCCGCACAGCCUCCUCUCCUGGCGCCAACUCGGGGCGGCGGCGCUCCGGUGUCCAGCGGAUGCGCCUCUCCUCCCCACACCGCGCUCCUUCCCUACAACCGGCCCACCCCACGCCGCGCUGCUCCCCAGCGCGCCCGGCAUCCUGCCCCUGCAGACCAGCGCGCGGCGACCCGCCCGAGCAGUACAGCGCCGGCGACCCGCCUCCUCUACAGCGCCUGCUUCCCUCUCUGAUUCUUCUCCACCGAACAAUCAAGUUGCUAGCAGCUGCAGCCCUUCCAAAUUUCUCACUCCCUCUCUCACGAACGAGCGCUGCAUGUGUUCCUUGCCCUCCCCCUUGUUGGAGUAGAAUUUUUUGAGCGUUGCAAUGGUUGAUUCGAGAUGUUAUGGUCGAGAUUUGCGUUGCCGUAGGGGUGUUCUUCUUGCUGGUUUGAUUUCAUGGAGGCAGCUUUUUUCAUAUUGCACCUCCAUGAUUUUGAUGUUGCAAUAAUCUUACUUUGAUGUUGCAUGAAUUUGAAUGGAUAUUGCACGAAAUGAAAUAGAGCUACGAUGUCGCAGUGGGAAUUUUACUCUUUUGCAUCCCGAUGUUUUGAUGCGUCUACGUGUCAUUUUAAUGUUGUAAAUAUUGAUUUUUUGUGUUGUAAGCAUGUAUUCUUGAUGUUGAAUAACGGAGCGUCCGAUAAAAUUACCAUACGUCCGGGCGGUAACAAGCUUUUUUUUUCAAAACAUGUACAAACAUAAUUUGGACAACUAGCCGACGAGAACAACCAGCAGCUUGCCUGGUGGGUCUGAAAGAAAACCCAAUAACUUGUCUAAUUAGUAGAAAUCCUAAGCGCACAAAUCCGGUAACAAACAGAACUGCAGAAGUAACUAGCUAGUUGCUCUGUGGUUUGGUUGCGUCUGACAAAACUUUGGCGGGGGCGUUCUUGAUCUUUAUAAACUCGUCCGGGCAUCAUACAAUAUAAACCUUGGUUUAUAAGGCUGAUUUUUUUUCUAGAAUUAAAUUAAGAAAAAUACAAAUACCUGUAUCGAGUUGUAUCGAGUUGGGGACUCAAACUCAAGUGAGCAGAUGGUGAGGAAUCUCACCAGUUAAGUUACACUCGGUUUAUUAUAAGAUUAACUCUUCGAGUCGGUAAUAAUUUUUUCCUUUGUCAGUGGAGUAUAAUAUUCUAUAAAACCAAAGACACUGUCCACUAGGUUCUUGUGUGUUGUGUGUGAUAGCCAUCAUCAAGGAUUCAAGAUAAGUAGGUAACCCCGUAUUCUACAAGAAGAAUUGCCAAUUCACUAAUCGUCAAUCAACUUUGUCCUCAGCGAGUCCUGGCUAAAAUGUUUUCACGUAAAUAAUUUUUCUGACAAAUUACAAUGUCGUCUCAAGUCAAUGAUCAUAGAGAUGAACAUCGUCCCCUGCGGCCUCGUCAAUCCUGACCGUUCCUAAGAGAUGAACGCCUCAGGAGCGCUGUCGCUGCUGGAAGUUGAGAACAGCCGGUCCUCGUCCUCCUAUGAAUGCUCUCUCCCGCCGCCGCCGCCGUCCGCGCCGCGGCGGGCUCGCCUCCGGCAGUCCGCGGCGCGCACGCGCGCCUCCUCAAGGAGGGGCUCGCCCACCUGCCCAUGGCGCCUGCGCUCCUCGUCUCCGCCUACGCCAGGUCGGGCCUCCUCGCCGACGCCCGCAGCGUGUUCGACGAUGCGCCGCGCCGGGACGUCCACCUAUACUCCGCACUCCUCGCCGCCGUCUCCCACUCCCCCACCCCCGGGCUCGCGCUGCCGCUCCUCCGCCGCAUGCUCUCGGACGACGCGCUCCGCCCUGACCACUUCGUCCUCGCCUCCCUCGCCAGCGCCGCCGCCAGGCUGCGCAGCCUCCGCCUCGGCAGGCAGCUCCACGCCCACUUCGUCGCCUCCCCGUACAGCGGCGACGACGUCGUUAAGUCGUCGCUGAUCGACAUGUACUGCAAGUGCGGCGUACCCGAGGAUGCCCGGAAGGUGUUCGACAGCAUCGGUGUCAAGAACAGCGUCGUGUGGACUGCGCUGGUUUCUGGGUAUGCGUCCAACGGCUACACCGACGAGGCGGUGGAGCUCUUCCGGAGCAUGCCUGCACGUGGCCUCUUCACAUGGACAGCGCUCAUCUCUGGGUUUGUCAAGGCUGGAAACAAUGCUAGUGCGGUGCGGAUGUUUGUUGAGAUGAGGCGGGAUGGUGUCAGGAUUGAUGACGCAUUCGUCUUGGCAACUGCAAUCGGUGGUGUGGCAGACCUGGCUGCACUUGUGCUGGGCAGGCAGCUGCAUGGUUUUGCCCUUAGGCUUGGGUUCUUGUCCAGCAUGAUUGUUGGGAAUGCGUUGGUUGACAUGUACUCCAAAUGCACUGAUAUACAUUCUGCUAGGGAAGUGUUUGAGGGGAUCACAGUCCGUGACAUCAUCUCGUGGACGACAAUUCUUGUUGGAGAGGCUCAGCACGGUCGAGCUGAGGAAGUAUUAUCUCUUUUUGACAGGAUGGUUCAUGCAGGAGUUAAGCCCAACGAGGUGACAUUUGUUGGCUUGAUUUAUGCUUGUAGUCACGCUGGUCUUGUUCAGAAAGGCCGGCAGCUGUUUGAGUCAAUGAAGCUGGAAUAUGGCAUCAAGCCUGGACUGCAACACUAUACUUGCUAUCUGGACCUUCUUAGUCGGUCAGGCCAUUUAUCAGAAGCUGAAGAACUCAUCACUACAAUGCCAUACGAGCCUGAUGAAGCUAGUUGGGGGGCCUUAUUGAGUGCCUGUAAGAAGCACAAUGAUGCUCAGAUGUGUCUCAGGGUUGCUGAUAAUUUACUAGAAUUGAGACCAAAAGAUCCUUCAACAUAUAUCUUGUUAUCUAAUGUGUAUGCUGUGAAUUGCAAGUGGGAUUCUGUGGCCAAGGUAAGAAAGAUCAUGGCUGAGAUGGAGAUAAGAAAAGAGCCUGGGUAUAGCUGGAUUGAAGCUGGAAAGGAAUUUCGUCUGUUCCAUGCUGGGGAGGUUCCAAUUGAUGUUAGAGAAGAAAUUACUGGUUUUCUUGAGGAAUUGGUCUCAGAGAUGCGCAAGAGGGGUUAUGUCCCUGAUACCAGCUCUGUGAUGCACGACUUGGAAGAGCAUGAGAAGGAGCAGCAUCUGUUCCUGCACAGUGAGAGGCUGGCUGUUGCUUUUGGAAUACUCAAGUCUCCUCCAGGAUCAGUGAUCCGGAUUGUAAAGAAUCUUCGGGUGUGUGGGGACUGCCAUACAGUAAUGAAGUUCAUCAGUGAAAUUGCACAGAGGAAGAUCAUCGUGAGAGAUGCUAGUCGUUUCCACCAUUUUGAGGGUGGGAAGUGCUCUUGUAGUGAAUUCUGGUAGCUAGUCAGCUGAUGUUGGGUUGUGCUUAAGUCCUGUUGGUAUGCUGUUGGAAGCUCUUACCUUGUUUUGGCAGCAUACUUCAAUGCUGCGCCUGUAAGGAAAAAAGAAGGUACUGAAACAAAAGAAUUUUCAGUCUGUCAGACUUUACUCUGCUUUUUUUGUUUGUUGACUCCAUGAAGAGUCUAACAUGAUGCUGAAAUAACGUUUCAUAUUUCUAUGAAAUAUGCAUUGCAGAUUAUGUCCAAUUUGCCUGUUUAUACACAAAACUACUAUUUUAGUUUACAAAUACUUCACAGAAAUGUGCCAGAGUGUUGGUCAUACAAGUGAGUGCUCUUUCCAUCUUUAUGUUUCCAGUGAUGUUUCAGUCUUGGUACACUCCAAAACAAUGAAACCAUGUUCUUAGUACUUGGGCGUUUGAUGUGCUUCAGGCAGACGUGUGCUCGCCAAGUGCGGCUGCUAUGGUGGUGUGUGGCGCCUGGACUUUAUGAUCUGGAAGGAACGCACGGCGUCAUGGCCGGAAGGUGUGGGAACUAGGUGCAACGGUGCGAUAUAUAUCUUCUCUGCUGGAGGACAUGGCGUCGUUGAAAUUGCUGAUCAAGCAGCAGGGAGCAAGCAUCCCAUCUGUGUGGAGAUGUCCUGAUGUGGGCUGGGUGAAGGUGAACACCGAUGCGGCAUUCGACGCUGACUCUUGUACGGGCAGCGCUGAGGUGGUGAUCCGUGACCACAACGGAUUGGUGAUGGCAGCAGCAACCAGAUGGCUUGACUCGGUGCCGGAUGCACUAACUGCUGAGGCGAUGGCGGCAAAGGAGGGCCUGGAGCUGGCUGUUGAGUGUGAUUUUGGAAAAGCUAUCCUUAAAGUAGACUGCAGCACUUUGAAGACGGUACUAGAGUCAGCUGAUGGCAUGAGAUCGCCGAUAGGCGGGCUUUGUUUCGAUAUCACAGAGUUAGUUAGGCAGGAGUUUUGAUUUGUUUAGAGUUGUUUGGGUGAGUAGAGAUGCAAACUCAGUAGCUCAUAGUUGUGCUACCAUGGGGUCGGUCUCUGAACGAUCCCAGUUUUGGCUUGACUAUAUCCAAGAGUGGUUGUUGGGAUUAGCAGCCGCUGAUUGUAAUUCUGCCUCGAAUUAAUGAAAAUUCAGUGAUGCUCAAAAAAUACAAUGAAACCAUGUUCUUCUGUCCUCUCCUUGUUCAGAUUCGCUACCUAGCAAGUGAGGAUAAUAGGAAUCAUAUAGCUACCAAGUGAAAAGAGUGAAGAUGAAAUGCUUUUUAGGACUAGCUCCAUUAACAAACUAGAAUGGCCUAUGGUAUUUCCAUAUGGUGUGGCUAUGGCACAAAUGAUCUUCAAUUUUUUCACCAUAGUUUCUGGAUGUGAUAAGGCAAACAACUGAUGAUAUGCAUGCUUUGUUCUUUACAGUACAGAAUUUUGCAUUUCUGUUCUAUUCUUUACACCAUUUGAUUACACGUGUCAACGCAGACUCUUAGUGGGAUCAAAGUCAGGAAUGCAGGAGAUAGCACCAGAGCCUCAGGUUUUUUAUCAUCAUUGGGUGCACUGACGUACGUUUGCAGGUUUUCUGAUCUGUGUUCGAUUAUUGGUUUUUAAUGGGAUAACUAUUGUUUUUUCUCAAUCAGUAUCCUUUUGUAAACAGCGGCAAGUAGUCUCACUGACCAUUGAUCAAAUCAGGGCAUGGGAGGCUGAGACCUUGAUGGCAGCUCUAGAAGCCGAUUUUAUGAAAGCGGUUGUGAUGUCGGCGGCACCGUCACGUCGCAACACCCUCGCAAGUCGCAACCUGCCGCUGCCGCCGGGUCUUCCUAUUGCUCCUCUUCUAGGACCGUCGGUGGCCACCGGAAUCCCAGCAAUCCUUCUCCUUGUACUCCGGGCGCCGUUGCUCAGCAAGGAAGAGGAACAGGAGCACACAAAACCACUUGCUAGCUUGCACGGUUUUGAACAACGAUGCUGCGAGUUCCAUUCGCGCAUGAUCAAUAAAAUCUGCGUGAGCCCCCCCCCCCCCCCCCCCCCCUCUCUCGCCCUCCCUGGCGGCACGGGGUGAUUCUGCAUCUCCGCCCCUCCUCCCACCCAGGCCGCCUCCGGUGGCCACCGCCGCCGCCCGGCUGAACCGAAGCCGGCCUAGCUCACCUACUUCCUCCCUCCCCUUCCUCUUUCCCCUCCGUUUCUCAUCCCUAAACCAAGAUCGUCUUCUCCGGCACCAUUCUUGGUCGCCGCCGGCGGUCGCAGGCUGGAUCCACCCGUCUCUUUGCCGGAUCUGGCCACCCCUUGCUCGGACCUGCUCGCGGUGGCGCUCCCUGGACGGUGUGCGGUGUGCUUAGCCACCGGGUGCCGUUCUGCCCCCGCUAACCUCUACACCCCCUCCGAGGCCCGCCCCCUGGGCGCGGGGUCGCCGCGCCUACCGGCUGGCCCAGCUUUGCAAUGGGGCGCCGUUGCCGCUUUUGGUGGCUGCGACUGCCCCCAUCCUCCAGUUCCGCGCCGGGCCAUGGUCGUCAUGAUUGUUCACGAGAAAUUUCGAUAUUUAACACUGAAUACGUACGCCUUACACGUUUUGACAUCUGAUUCGUAAGGCUUUCGAAAUAUAACCUCCCGCACGUGAGUUUACGUUCUUUUAAUUCGAGGGACUCUAUUUCUUUGAUUAUUCUUUUCUUUUUCGUUUUACAGUCCUCUGAAAAGACGACAUUGCCCCUCAUCGUAUCCUUAACCACCGAUUGGAUCCAAUGGGCCCGUGCGCUAGUCUCUCCCUCGUUCGCUCUGUCUCUCGCUCGCCAAGAACACCGCGCCGCCGCCGCCGCCGCCGGUCGCCCUCCCCUCUGCCUCCGUCCACCCUACCGGCGCCUCCUCCACAGCUCGAGGGCGUACCCGAACGCGAUGGUCAGGACCGGGCCCCAGAGGUUGCCCUUGCUCGCGCCCACGGCCGCGGCUCGGUGGCGCCGCCGCAGGAGGAGGUGGAGGGGAAGGUGGCGACGGCGGCGAAGACAGCCACGAAGGCGCCGAGGAGGCUCCAGCACUACCUCGGCGCCCACGGCCACGAAGGCGCCGAGGAGGCACCCGCCGGCGGCGAGCAGAAGGCUCCGGAGGUAGUGCUGGAGAGCUCGGACGAGGUCCCGGUACGCGGCAGGGGCCGGGUCGGCGCGGCUGAUGGCGUCGGCGUCGAGCAGCAAGGCGGCCGCCAGCGGCUGCACGGCGAGGGCGUUGCCGAGGAGUAGCGCCGCGGCGAGCGCGGCCGUGAGGGCGAGAAGCGGCACGAAGAGCGCUAUCCUGCUGCCUCUCUCGCUCGUCUCUCUUCUCUGUCGCCCCCACGCGCCCUGCUGCUCACGCCGCCCAUCUCGCAGGGCCGCCCGCCGCCAUGGCCACCGGAGCUGAGCGCUGCCGUCGGUUUCCGGCCGCUCAAAUCGCCGUCUCCGCUGCCCGCCUGUCGAGGCCAUGACUCGCGCGAGCUCCGCGACGCCAUUCGGUAGCUCCGCCUCUGCUCGCCGAGCCGAGGUGCGUGAGGCUCUUGGACUGGACGCCCUGGCGGCGGGGGGCUCCUGUUCUUGAUACGAGAGAGAGGGACGCGAGAACAAGCGGACAGGAGAGGGGAGAAAGACCGAUUGGAUUCAAUCUGCGCGAAUGGAUUUGGACAGGGGCAAAUUGGUCCAUUUAUUUGGUCUGUGAAAUGAAAAUGAAAAGAAAACGAGAGAAAAGGAGAAAAGGGUAUGAAAUCUCUCGAAUCAAAAGAAUUCACGUGCAGGAGAUUAUAUUUUGAAAGGCUUGCGAAUUGAAUGUCAAAUCAUGUAAGGUGUGCGUAUCCAAUGUCAAAUAUCGAAAUUUCUCGUCAUGUAGCCUCCACUGCCACUGCCAUGGUCGUCAUUGUUGUUGCUGCUCACCGCUUCUAGUCGUGGGAUACGCUUGCCUCUAAAGUGGUGCUGCUCGGUGCUGCGCUUCUCUGCUUCUACCCUGCUUUGCUUCAGCUCGUCAGAUCUGUCGAUCGGUGCUCGUUGCUCGCAGACGGUAUUGUCCAGCAUGAAGAUGGGUCUUUAGGUCUUGGCGAAAGCCUUGCACAGUUUUGGUUCGUGCUAACAAUGGCGACACCUUCUGGUGCUGUUAUCCUCAC